This 69-nucleotide transfer RNA is filed under the name Cordylochernes scorpioides. RNAcentral's name for it is "tRNA-Ser". It matches the Rfam family "tRNA". From Rfam's summary of the family: Transfer RNA (tRNA) molecules are approximately 80 nucleotides in length. Lineage: Eukaryota; Metazoa; Arthropoda; Arachnida; Pseudoscorpiones; Chernetidae. The record is from RNAcentral.
GCUUUUGGUUCAGUGGUAGAAUGCUCGCCUGCUACACGGGCGCCCCGGGUUCGAUUCCUGGCCGAUGCA